CAGUAGCCGCGGUAAUACGAAGUGUGCAAGCGUUACUCGGAAUUACUGGGCGUAAAGCGUGCGUAUGUGGUGGUUUAAGUCCGUUGUGAAAGCCCUGGGCUCAACCUGGGAAUUGCAGUGGAUACUGGGUCACUAGAGUGUGGUAGAGGAUAGUGGAAUUUCCGGUGUAGCAGUGAAAUGCGUAGAGAUCGGAAGGAACAUCUGUGGCGAAGGCGACUAUCUGGGCCAACACUGACACUGAGGCACGGAAGCGUGGGGAGCAAACAGGAUUAGAUACCCCCGUAGUCCCUGUCUCUUAUAC
This 301-nucleotide ribosomal RNA is filed under the name uncultured bacterium. RNAcentral's name for it is "partial 16S ribosomal RNA". It matches the Rfam family "Bacterial small subunit ribosomal RNA", at positions 509 to 807 of the family's 1533-position model. The record is from RNAcentral.